Molecule: long non-coding RNA, 288 nt
Filed under: Homo sapiens (human)
Lineage: Eukaryota; Metazoa; Chordata; Mammalia; Primates; Hominidae
Description: non-protein coding lnc-ETAA1-2:1
Source: RNAcentral
GCUUAUUGAAGUGACUACAAAUCCCAUUCAUUGUGGGCAAGACUGAUCCCAGUUAUUAGGAUUGUUAAAGCAGAAAAGCAGAAGAGACGCUUUUUGAAGACCAAAUCCAGAGUCAGCAGGACCUAGGGCCUAGAAGGUAUGACAUAAACAAUAGGUUUGGAAUAAUUCAGGAUGAUGCCAAGUCCAGCUCAGUCCUCCUCCUCCUCCUGCCCCCACAACCACCCCUCUCAAUGAUACAGGAGGAGAAGAAGGAGAUUAAGAGAAAAAGGAAAAGAAUUGGAGGCUGGU